This 209-nucleotide ribosomal RNA is filed under the name uncultured bacterium. RNAcentral describes it as "partial 16S ribosomal RNA". It matches the Rfam family "Bacterial small subunit ribosomal RNA", at positions 568 to 774 of the family's 1533-position model. The record is from RNAcentral.
UGCGUAGGUGGUGAGGUAAGUCGGAUGUGAAAUCUCCGAGCUCAACUCGGAAAAUGCAUUGGAAACUACCUUGCUCGAGGGUUGGGAGGGGGGACGUGGAAUGCUUGGUGUAGCAGUGAAAUGCGUAGAUAUCAAGCGGAACACCAGUGGCGAAGGCGAGUCCCUGGACAACUCCUGACACUGAGGCACGAAAGGCUGGGAGGCAAACA